GACGAACGCUGGCGGCGUGCUUAACACAUGCAAGUCGAACGGAAAGGCCCUGCGUUUGUGGGGUGCUCGAGUGGCGAACGGGUGAGUAACACGUGAGUAACCUGCCCUUGACUUUGGGAUAACCUCAGGAAACUGGGGCUAAUACCGGAUAGGAGCUGCUGCUGCAUGGUGGGGGGUGGAAAGUUUCGGCGGUUGGGGUUGGACUCGCGGCUUAUCAGCUUGUUGGUGGGGUAGUGGCUUACCAAGGAUUUGACGGGAAGCCGGCCUGAGAGGGUGAACGGCCACAUUGGGACUGAGGUACGGCGCAGACUCCUACGGGAGGCAGCAGUGGGGAGUAUUACACAAUGGGCGGAAGCCUGAUGCAGCGACGCCGCGUGCGGGAUGACGGCCUUCGGGUUGAAAACCGCUUUCGCCUGUGACGAAGCGUGAGUGACGGUAAUGGGUAAAGAAGCACCGGCUAACUACGUG
RNAcentral lists this ribosomal RNA (468 nucleotides) under uncultured bacterium. RNAcentral describes it as "partial 16S ribosomal RNA". It matches the Rfam family "Bacterial small subunit ribosomal RNA", at positions 28 to 507 of the family's 1533-position model. The record is from RNAcentral.